Molecule: RNA transcript, 2837 nt
Organism: Gadus morhua (Atlantic cod)
Lineage: Eukaryota; Metazoa; Chordata; Actinopteri; Gadiformes; Gadidae
Gene: ctdsp2
Gene name: CTD (carboxy-terminal domain, RNA polymerase II, polypeptide A) small phosphatase 2
Exons: 7
Source: RefSeq, a predicted model, not a curated record
GCUAAAAUGAUCGUGGUAACUGUUUGCCUUGGAAAAUAUCAUCUUUUGAAUGAUUUUUUUUUUUUUUCUACAUCCUCUUUUGCGUUUUUGGCGAGGUUGUUUAUCUGUAGUAAGGGGACCUUGAAACCGUCGUGCCCCAUUUCCUCGGUUGUUUUCCUCCCCGCCUGGUUCUCCAUGUUGUUGAGCUUCGGCGAGGUUCUACACUAGUCCUACGAUCAACAACAUACCUGAUCUACAAUACAGGACAGGACGACAGAGGACCAUAGGACCGAUAGCCGAAAGAACCCCGACCCGGAGCCCAGCCCCAGAACCCCGUCCCGAAGCCGAGCCCCAGAAAACCGUCCCGGAGCCCAGCCCUCCCGCGGACCCUCGGGGACAGUGUGGGACGGAUGACAGUGGUCUGACUGAGUGACUCCUCAGUCCCUGAUGAAGGCUCGUCGGGGGUCGGGGACAGGAUUUGACUUCGAGGGCUCUGUGAUUGUCAGAUGGAAAGUUCUAUUAUCACUCAAGUGCAGAAAGAAGACGUCCAAGUGUCGCCGAAAACAGGCGCGGUGAGCCGCUCUUCUCUCAAGCAGCCAAAGAGCUGUAACAUCUUUAAGGCGCUCUUCUGCUGCCUCAAAGCGCAGGAUGGCCCCAAACUGCCACCCCCUCCACCGCCACCGCCUCCACCCUCCUCCCAGCAUGCCUUGCUGGAGUCGCAGGAAAAUGGGACAGUUGUCAAGGAUGAGGGCAGCCUACUGCCUGAGUUGGAUCCCCAGGACCAGGGAAAGAUCUGCGUGGUCAUAGACCUGGAUGAGACCCUGGUCCACAGCUCAUUCAAGCCCAUUAGCAACGCAGACUUCAUCGUACCAGUGGAGAUAGAAGGGACCACCCACCAGGUCUACGUCCUGAAGCGGCCCUACGUGGAUGAGUUCUUGCAGAGGAUGGGGGAGCUGUUUGAGUGUGUGCUGUUCACAGCCAGCCUUGCUAAGUAUGCGGACCCAGUGACUGACCUGCUGGAUCAGGGCAGUGUGUUCCGGGCCCGUCUGUUCCGGGAGUCCUGCGUCUUCCACCAGGGCUGCUAUGUGAAGGACCUGAGCCGGCUCGGCCGGGACCUGAGGAAGACCCUCAUCCUGGACAACUCCCCGGCCUCCUACAUCUUCCACCCGGAGAACGCUGUGAGGCCCCUGCCGUCCACGCACACACUGCAGACCUAACGAGGGCCACACUUUACUGCUCCGACUACAUGAGGACCAGGCGUUGAUUCAGACUUAUUGUAAAAAUAAGUGAAUAGAAUUGCUGUGCCGGUGCUGUCGUGGUUCGACGAUGUGGACGACGUUGAGCUCCUCAACCUUCUUCCCGUGUUUGAGGACCUGAGUCAAGCGGACAACGUUUACACCCGUCUAGACCAGCUCCGAGGGCCGUAGAUCUGCUGUGGUCUGCCCACGUUACAGCCCCCUGGUACCAAUGGGGAUCUGGUGCUUUCCGAGCCUCUUGUUAAUCUUUUAAAACAUUGCACCAAACAUGGACAUGUAUCUUGAGUCUUUCUGCACAUGGGGCCUAGCAUGUGUUAGCCACUAUUUGAAAGCAGAGAGAUUUGGAAACGGCCACCAAAGUAGUUUGAAAACAAUCGCUCCAGUGAUUGUAUCUAAGUAGUUAUUUUGCCGUCCCUGACUUUACCCUGGGAUGUUUUUGUAUCGUUGUGCCUUUUUUAAGGAACAAAAAAAAUACAUUGGCUCACUUUUUAUUUGAACAGCUUUUGUUAUUUUUUUCUAGUUUUUUUUAUAUAUAAAUCUAUUUUUGAACAGUAAAUGUGGUUUAUCUAUGCAACCCAUUACAUUGACAAUACCUCUACUGUAGACAGCUGGUAAUGACAUACUGCCCGUGUAAAUGGAGAGGUUGUGAUUUAGAUGAGUGAAUCAGCAAUGGAACACGAAACUGUACUCUACCUUAUUUUCUACAGAACUAUAGGACACGUGAUAAAGUUGAUUAUUUAUCAUACCAGUUCCAAUAACGGUGCAGUGUUGGAACAUAGGGACAGUUGAUGGGAUAUUUUGGAAUGACGCUAUGGCCAUUUAAAAGCAGACACACUGGAAUUCGCCGGUGGCUCCUGACUUAAUAGAAUUAAAGCCACAUUUGUUAAACAAGGUAAAGAAUGAUUUGUCCUUAUGUUUGUCUCUGAUGAUUUGAACAAUAUUGCACUUGUUUUAUAUUCAGUGCUAAAGUGACGGGUGUGCCUGGUGCUGUUAGCGUAGAGCAGGCGGAGCGCACUGUGGAGAUCAAGUGACAGGCUGUGCUACUCGCAGUGCGACACUUGAACAUAUCAUAUCUGAUGAACGUUUUUCUGUAUUUAUUGGCCAAUCGUCGUAUUGUCCAGUACCUCUUACUGCUGAACGGUUUGGCUUGUGAUCCAUUGCCUACUUUAUUGGUGGUUCAGUAUUAGACCAUCCAGUUGUGUUUGUGCCUUGGAGUCUCUCGUGUCAAAGGAAGGGGCAAGCUGUGGAGGACAGAGUGCAGCCGAACCUGAGUCCACUCUCCUGAAGCCUGUUUAGUUAUGCAGCAAAACCACAUUUUCAACUCCAAAUAAUUGUUCCUCUUUUCUCCACUGAGAAUUGCUUUGCUUAUCGAGAAAUAUCAACAAACAUUCUUUGGCUAUACAAUUUGUACAACUAUUGCCUGCAUGUUAAAAAAAAAUAGUAACCAUUUAUUAUACGCUGCCAAAUAUUUUUGUUUAGACGGUAUUGAUUGAAUUGUCUUAUACUUAGUGUUUAUUGAAAAUAAGAACGUUUGUACUAUCAGACCCAAUUCAAGCUAAUUCUUCAUGACACAGUGUACAAAUAAAAGAUGAUUAUAUUUUA